This is a long non-coding RNA of Oncorhynchus tshawytscha (Chinook salmon), 1221 nucleotides long. Lineage: Eukaryota; Metazoa; Chordata; Actinopteri; Salmoniformes; Salmonidae. The record is from Ensembl.
CCUCCAUAUGACCCCUAACCUCCAUAUGACCCCUAACCCCCAUAUGACCGCUAACCUCCAUAUGACCCCUAACCUCCAUAUGACCCCUAACCUCCAUAUGACCCCUAACCUCCAUAUGACCCCUAACCUCCAUAUGACCCUGUUAUCAAUGUUAGUAGUGAUGAUUAAUCUAAAGCUGACCAGGUUUCAAGAGAAAAACUUCUGCCAACAAACUCUGGGCUUUGGCUGAGUUCAGUUCUGUUCAGUCCAGUGUGGCUUCAGUACAGCUGCCCUGUGUAGGGGGGAGGGGGACAGAGGUGUCUAGUCCCUAUGGUGGAGGGAGGAUGGAGGGCAGAGGGGACAGAGGUGUGUCUAGUCCCUACGGUGGAGGGAGGAUGGAGGGCAGAGGGGACAGAGGUGUGUCUAGUCCCUACGGUGGAGGGAGGAUGGAGGGCAGAGGGGACAGAGGUGUGUCUAGUCCCUGGAGGGGAGGAUGGAGGGCAGAGGGGACAGAGGUGUGUCUAGUCCCUACAGUGGAGGGAGGGGGAUGGAGGGCAGAGGGAACAGAGGUGUGUCUAGUCCCUACGGUGGAGGGAGGAUGGAGGGCAGAGGGGACAGAGGUGUGUCUAGUCCCUACAGUGGAGGGAGGAUGGAGGGCAGAGGGGACAGAGGUGUGUCUAGUCCCUACGGUGGAGGGAGGAUGGAGGGCAGAGGGGACAGAGGUGUGUCUAGUCCCUACAGUGGAGGGAGGAUGGAGGGCAGAGGGGACAGAGGUGUGUCUAGUCCCUACGGUGGAGGGAGGAUGGAGGGCAGAGGGGACAGAGGUGUGUCUAGUCCCUACAGUGGAGGGAGGAUGGAGGGCAGAGGGGACAGAGGUGUGUCUAGUCCCUACAGUGGAGGGAGGAUGGAGGGCAGAGGGAACAGAGGUGUGUCUAGUCCCUACGGUGGAGGGAGGAUGGGAUGGAGGGCAGAGGGGACAGAGGUGUGUCUAGUCCCUACAGUGGAGGGAGGAUGGAGGGCAGAGGGGACAGAGGAGUGUCUAGUCCCUACAGUGGAAGGAGGAUGGGAUGGAGGGCAGAAGCCGGGAAGUGGUUCCUCCCCGUCAGGCUUUCCCUUCCCAGGCGUCGUCUCUCUGUUUAGCUGCCAGACGCUUCUGCUCUGAAAGACAGACAGACAGGUUGAUAAGAGAGUAAAUCAAUACUACUACUAGCUGUCAAUACAAUCAUAAAGACAAAGACUAGU